CCUACGGGAGGCUGCAGUAGGGAAUAUUGGGCAAUGGAUGCAAGUCUGACCCAGCCAUGCCGCGUGCCGGAAGAAGGCCCUCAGGGUUGUAAACGGCUUUUAUUCGGGAAGAAGAAUAGGGAUGCGUCCUUAUGUGACGGUACCGAAUGAAUAAGCACCGGCUAACUCCGUGCCAGCAGCCGCGGUAAUACGGAGGGUGCGAGCGUUGUCCGGAUUUAUUGGGUUUAAAGGGUGCGUAGGUUGCCAAGUAAGUCAGUGGUGAAAUACAGCCGCGCAACGGUUGAGGUGCCAUUGAUACUGUUUGGCUUGAAAUAAUUGGAGGCUGCCGGAAUGGAUGGUGUAGCGGUGAAAUGCAUAGAUAUCAUCCAGAACACCGAUUGCGAAGGCAGGUGGCUACGAUUGGUUUGACACGGAGGCACGAAAGCAUGGGGAGUAAACAGGAUUAGAUACCCAGGUAGUC
This 460-nucleotide ribosomal RNA is filed under the name uncultured Dyadobacter sp. RNAcentral's name for it is "bacterial SSU rRNA". It matches the Rfam family "Bacterial small subunit ribosomal RNA", at positions 338 to 795 of the family's 1533-position model. The record is from RNAcentral. Lineage: Bacteria; Pseudomonadati; Bacteroidota; Cytophagia; Cytophagales; Spirosomataceae.